AACGAACGCUGGCGGCACGCCUAACACAUGCAAGUCGAACGGUAACGGCUCUUCGGAGGCCGACGAGUGGCGGACGGGUGAGUACGCGUGGAUACCUGCCCCGAGGUACGGGACAACAUCUGGAAACAGUUGCUAAUACCGUACAAGCUCCAAGGAGGAAAGGCUUCGGCCGCCUUGGGAGGGGUCCGCGUCGGAUUAGCUAGUUGGUGAGGUAACGGCUCACCAAGGCGACGAUCCGUAGCUGGUCUGAGAGGAUGAUCAGCCACACUGGGACUGAGACACGGCCCAGACUCCUACGGGAGGCAGCAGUGGGGAAUAUUGCGCAAUGGGGGGCAACCCUGACGCAGCGAUGCCGCGUGAGUGAAGAAGGCCUUCGGGUUGUAAAGCUCUUUUAGUAGGGACGAUAGUGACGGUACCUACAGAAGAAGCUCCGGCUAACUCCGUGCCAGCCCGCCG
Molecule: ribosomal RNA, 456 nt
Filed under: uncultured Magnetococcaceae bacterium
Lineage: Bacteria; Pseudomonadati; Pseudomonadota; Magnetococcia; Magnetococcales; Magnetococcaceae
Description: bacterial SSU rRNA
Rfam family: Bacterial small subunit ribosomal RNA
Source: RNAcentral